GGAUGAACGCUAGCGGCAGGCUAAUACAUGCAAGUCGAGGGGCAGCAUGACUGUAGCAAUACAGUUGAUGGCGACCGGCAAACGGGUGCGGAACACGUACAGAACCUUCCUUCGAGCGGGGAAUAGCCCAGAGAAAUUUGGAUUAAUACCCCCAUAGUACAACGAAGUGGCAUCACUUUGUUGUUAAAGAUUUAUCACUUGAAGAUGGCUGUGCGGCUGAUUAGGUAGUUGGCGGGGUAACGGCCCACCAAGCCUGCGAUCAGUAACUGGUGUGAGAGCACGACCAGUCACACGGGCACUGAGACACGGGCCCGACUCCUACGGGAGGCAGCAGUAAGGAAUAUUGGUCAAUGGACGAAAGUCUGAACCAGCCAUGCCGCGUGGAGGAUGAAGGUCCUCUGGAUUGUAAACUUCUUUUAUAUGGGACGAAAAAAGGGUUUUCUAACUCGUCUGACGGUACCAUAUGAAUAAGCACCGGCUAACUCCGUG
Molecule: ribosomal RNA, 489 nt
Filed under: uncultured bacterium
Lineage: Bacteria
Description: bacterial SSU rRNA
Rfam family: Bacterial small subunit ribosomal RNA
Source: RNAcentral